This 521-nucleotide long non-coding RNA is filed under the name Hermetia illucens (black soldier fly). RNAcentral describes it as "uncharacterized LOC119647213, transcript variant X2". Lineage: Eukaryota; Metazoa; Arthropoda; Insecta; Diptera; Stratiomyidae. The record is from RNAcentral.
GGUUAGGCAAUAUCCGUUUCGUAUCGGAGCUUCCAAGGUGGAUGCCAACCGUUCUAGAAAGUAGUGCGGUACUCGCAUAACGAGAGUGAGAGCGUGACAUUCAAUAUGUGGGCUAUUACUAUAGUGUUCGUAAUCACGUUUUGUUUGGUGAAAAUAACGUUGUUUAUUAGCAGGAAAGUCUUGAGAUACCUUCAAGAGGAUACGUAGGAUUAAGAAUUGAGAACGUGAGAUCAGAAAGGAUUGUCGAGGAAAUAAUAUAAGAUACGAAUGCGAUUUGCGUGAGGCUUGGGUGGCAGUUCAAUGGUCCAGUUAAGCUGCAACUGAUCCUAAUUACUAAUUGUUGUCUUUUUAGCAUAUCUGUACAUAAGAUAUCAUAGGAUAAGAAGAAGUUUAAGUUUAUCUUAGAAUGGUAGAGCAGGCUUAGAUUAUCCUUUGGAUAAUUUUACUUAGAAUUAAUUUGUUUAGAGUAAGUUUGAUGGGGUGUGAUUUUUUAAAAUUAAAAAUAACUUUGUGAAAAACAA